RNAcentral lists this ribosomal RNA (484 nucleotides) under uncultured bacterium. RNAcentral's name for it is "partial 16S ribosomal RNA". It matches the Rfam family "Bacterial small subunit ribosomal RNA", at positions 30 to 507 of the family's 1533-position model. The record is from RNAcentral.
AUUGAACGCUGGCGGCAGGCCUAACACAUGCAAGUCGAGCGGAUGAAGGGAGCUUGCUCCUGGAUUCAGCUGCGGACGGGUGAGUAAUGCCUAGGAAUCUGCCUGGUAGUGGGGGAUAACGUCCGGUAACGGGCGCUAAUCCCGCAUACGUCCUGAGGUAGAAAGGGGGGGAUCUUCGGACCUCACGCUAUCAGAUGAGCCUAGGUCGGAUUAGCUAGUUGGUUGGGUAAAGGCCUACCAAGGCGACGAUCCGUAACUGGCCUGAGAGGAUGACCAGUCACACUGGAACUGAGACACGGUCCAGACUCCUACGGGAGGCAGCAGUAGGGAAUCUUGGACAAUGGGCGAAAGCCUGACCCAGCAACGCCGCGUGUGUGAAGAAGGUCUUCGGAUUGUAAAGCACUGUAAGUUGGGAGGAAGGGAAGUAAGUUUAUCCCUUGCUGUUUUGACGUUACCAACAGAAUAAGCACCGGCUAACUUCGUG